UCCUGACCUCGUGAUCCACCCUCCUCGGCCUCCCAAAGUGCUGGGAUUACAGGCGUGACCCACUGUGCCCGGUUGAGAUUUCUAUGCCUCUUUACCCUCUCUGCCCUGAAACUUUUUGUAGUACAAAUCAUACAAAGUCAUAAGUGGGGAUGUCACAAUUUACCCCGUCAGGGAAAGCAGACAUUUACAAGUACUUAAAAUAAAAUGAGAAUGUUAUAAGGGAAGAAACUCAUGUGAGGGGACUUGGUUGCUUAAAGAUCAGGAAUGUCUCUGAAGUAAUGACAUCUAAGCUGGGAACUGAAGGAUCACCAGGAAUUAGACCAAUGGGAAUGUGGGUGGGUAUUCCAGGCAGAAAGUAGGAUACAUUUGAAAGUACAGAGGUGAGGCCCUCAGGGAAAGUCGUGGAGCUAAGAGAGAUUUGGACCAUAUGUGGAGAGGAAGAGAGGAAGGACAUGAAGUUAGAGGGUCUAGGGACUUCUCUGCAGGGUGGAUUAAGGGAUCAAGGGACACACAGAGCCAGGGAUACUAAUGAUGUUAGUAGACAGCAAGAGAUCUUGGAAGGAACCUGGGAAGGGGCAGUCAGAAAUGCAGAAUAAAAACCAGAAAUGAGUAAUGACAUACAAGACAACUAGUGAGGGAAAAUUCACUUUGUGAAAAGGGCCAACAAUGUGUCAACUACAGCAAGGAAGUCAAGGCUGAAAAGGCUAAAAAGUGGCUGUGGGAUCAAUUAAUGAAGGCAGCGUUGAGGCCUUGGUGAGCACAGUUGUGAGAGAAGAGGUAGAAACCAAAUCGUAGCAGUGGAAAAACAAAUGAAGCUUGAAGAACAGAAGGUGUUUUAAAGAAAGCUGUCUGUUGGGAAGUGAAGGAAGGUGACGUUCCUACAAAAAGAGAAGUACACCAUAACGUUGGUAUGAGUGAAAUCAUUCAUUUUUCACUGAACGCUUACUUCAUGCUGGGACCUAAGCAACAACUGUGGCGACAAUGGACUUAUUGGUAAUUUACUAUGUGCAGACACUCUCCUCACUUUUUGACAGAGAACGUUGAUUAGAUGACCAAAAGUGCCCGGCCCUUUGCCAAGUGUGAUAGAAAACAGGGAGAAGGUAUCAUCAUCGUUUCACAGAUGCCUACAUUCCAAAGGAUCUCAUCAGAGCAUAAGAGCUCUUCCAGCUGUUGUUUAUCCAUGAAUUAUUAUUGCAAUGCUUAACCGGAGAUAGAAACUCACCAUGAGCGUAUCAACCUUUCCUCUUCAGAAGUUUCACUUCAGUUUGAAAGAAAACGCAACUGGUGAAACAAUUGCUGUGUGUCAUAAAUUAUAGGUAUCUGACAUUCAUUACAAGGAAAGCAACAGUCAAAUAUCAUGGGACUCAUAUUUAUUUAUGUCUAUAUUAUCUGUAGAUAUUAUAGAUAAUAUAUAUGUAUACUUUGACAGAGAAGGAAGAACACCACUCUGGAGUGUUUAAUCUACCAUAGUUUGAUACUGUCUUUCUUGUUUGUGCCAAUUUGAAUUACUUGGUUCUGUUUUUUGGUUAUCUGCAAUUAGUGUGCUAUUUAUUUCCAGAAUAGAGGAAACUGAAGCUUACUCUGUGUACACAAAAGAAUACUGUACCCAUUCAGUCAUGUACAAAUAGAGUUAUCUCAUGGAAAA
RNAcentral lists this long non-coding RNA (1645 nucleotides) under Homo sapiens (human). Its description in RNAcentral is "HSALNT0333182". The record is from RNAcentral. Lineage: Eukaryota; Metazoa; Chordata; Mammalia; Primates; Hominidae.